This 424-nucleotide ribosomal RNA is filed under the name uncultured Streptococcus sp. RNAcentral describes it as "bacterial SSU rRNA". It matches the Rfam family "Bacterial small subunit ribosomal RNA", at positions 338 to 779 of the family's 1533-position model. The record is from RNAcentral. Lineage: Bacteria; Bacillati; Bacillota; Bacilli; Lactobacillales; Streptococcaceae.
CCUACGGGAGGCAGCAGUGGGGAAUAUUGCACAAUGGGGGAAACCCUGAUGCAGCGACGCCGCGUGAAGGAAGAAGUAUCUCGGUAUGUAAACUUCUAUCAGCAGGGAAGAUAGUGACGGUACCUGACUAAGAAGCCCCGGCUAACUACGUGCCAGCAGCCGCGGUAAUACGUAGGGGGCAAGCGUUAUCCGGAUUUACUGGGUGUAAAGGGAGCGUAGACGGCGAGGCAAGUCUGAUGUGAAAACCCGGGGCUCAACCCCGUGACUGCAUUGGAAACUGUUUUGCUUGAGUGCCGGAGAGGUAAGCGGAAUUCCUAGUGUAGCGGUGAAAUGCGUAGAUAUUAGGAGGAACACCAGUGGCGAAGGCGGCUUACUGGACGGCAACUGACGUUGAGGCUCGAAAGCGUGGGGAGCAAACAGGAUU